UAGUAAGGGCGACUGAAGCGGGAAGAGCCCAUGUUGCCAAACCUUCGGGUGUUGUGCCAUGCGUGUCUUUUGUCUGGCCAGGAGUAAAUCCCUUGGAACAGGGUAUCAGAGAGGGUGACAAUCCCGUUCGCCUCUUGGCUUUGGCAAUUGUAGACCGUGUAACGGAGUCGAGUUGCUUGGGAUUGCAGCUCAAAGUGGG
RNAcentral lists this ribosomal RNA (199 nucleotides) under Asterionellopsis glacialis. Its description in RNAcentral is "partial Eukaryotic large subunit ribosomal RNA". It matches the Rfam family "Eukaryotic large subunit ribosomal RNA", at positions 81 to 296 of the family's 3401-position model. Lineage: Eukaryota; Bacillariophyta; Plagiogrammaphyceae; Rhaphoneidales; Asterionellopsidaceae. The record is from RNAcentral.